GGCCUGCGCGCCGCUGCCGUUCGCCCACGGGCGGGAACCGCUGACGGCGCCGCUCCGCGCUCACCCCCCUCCCCGCGCUGCGCCCGCCGGAAAGACCGGCCGCGCGCCGGGCGGGCUUUACUUGUAGCGUCGCAGGACCCCGCUAGGGCUGACCUCGCUAGCGCCUGUCCCGCGCUUGCGCGCCGCGGCCGACUGGCGGGUCCGCCGCCUCCGGCAGUGCGCUGGGCGCCCCUGGCGGGUGAGGACCCCGCGCGGCGCCUGAGGCGCCCCCUCAGCCCUCUGCCAGGGCGGUUGUGCCGCCCGGUCUGGCGCGCUGGGAAAUGAGGGAAGAAUCCUCCGGCACGUCCCCAGUGUCGGUGUUCCCGCAGGUCGGGGAGAGAUGGUGGGUCACAGCCGUUCAUCCCUUCGUGGAGCAACGCAGACUUCCACCCGGAGGGCAGGAUUUGUGCCGUCCAGCGCUGCAUCCCCGCCGGGGCGGGGGGGUGCCAGGGGCUGUGCUUUUCUACAGGAUAUUCGGUAUUAAAUCCGUUUCCUCCAAAAAUCUGCACUGCAUCUGAAGCGACUUGGUUUGCCACAUCACCCGC
Long non-coding RNA from Tyto alba (common barn owl), 584 nucleotides. RefSeq lists it as uncharacterized. The record is from RefSeq and is a predicted model, not a curated record. NCBI's taxonomy places the organism in Eukaryota, Metazoa, Chordata, Aves, Strigiformes, Tytonidae. The transcript is spliced from 3 exons.